RNAcentral lists this long non-coding RNA (399 nucleotides) under Manihot esculenta (cassava). Its description in RNAcentral is "long non-coding RNA (MESC_LNC001889)". The record is from RNAcentral. Lineage: Eukaryota; Viridiplantae; Streptophyta; Magnoliopsida; Malpighiales; Euphorbiaceae.
UGAGGUAUGGAAAAAUUACAAAGAAACUCUUGGAGAACAUGUUAAAAAAAGAUGCACAAAGUGUUGAAAAUUUUAGUGCACACAAAUAUUCCCCAAGCUGGAACUUCUUCAAUUUUCACUUAUCCCUUACCAACUCAAGGUAGUUUUUUAAUCCUUAUCUGUGUGUUUUCCUAUGUUUUUAUUUUUUAUUUUCUUCCCUAGACUGAGAUAGGUUUCAAAGAGGGCACCACAAAAAAUAUUUUCACAAGUCACAUGCAAGGCAACUGAUCCAAUUAUGAUUACGAAAAUGUCACCUUUAGGGAAUGGUGCAAAUGAUUUUCCACAGCAAUGCUGCAAAAUCUGCACAUCAUCUGAAAGAACAAGAUUAUCUUCAGAAUCAGCUCCCCAGAAGAAGGGCAC